RNAcentral lists this ribosomal RNA (681 nucleotides) under uncultured fungus. Its description in RNAcentral is "SSU rRNA". It matches the Rfam family "Eukaryotic small subunit ribosomal RNA", at positions 421 to 1107 of the family's 1831-position model. Lineage: Eukaryota; Fungi. The record is from RNAcentral.
GAAGGCAGCAGGCGCGCAAAUUACCCAAUCCCAAUACGGGGAGGUAGUGACAAUAAAUACUGAUACGGGGCUCUUUCGGGUCUCGUAAUUGGAAUGAGUACAAUCUAAAUCCCUUAACGAGGAACAAUUGGAGGGCAAGUCUGGUGCCAGCAGCCGCGGUAAUUCCAGCUCCAAUAGCGUAUAUUAAAGUUGUUGCCGUUAAAAAGCUCGUAGUUGAACCUUGGACCUGGCUGAUCUGUCCUCCUAAUCGAGCGCACGGAUUCGGUCGGGUCUUUCCUUCUGGGGAGCCCUAUGCCCUUCACUGGGUGUAGUGGGGAACCAGGACUUUUACCUUGAAAAAAUUAGAGUGUUCAAAGCAGGCCUUUGCUCGAAUACAUUAGCAUGGAAUAAUAGAACAGGACAUCGGUUCUAUUUUGUUGGUUUCUAGGACCGCUGUAAUGAUUAAUAGGGAUAGUCGGGGGCGUCAGUAUUCAAUUGUCAGAGGUGAAAUUCUUGGAUUUAUUGAAGACUAACUACUGCGAAAGCAUUCGCCAAGGAUGUUUUCAUUAAUCAGUGAACGAAAGUUAGGGGAUCGAAGACGAUCAGAUACCGUCGUAGUCUUAACCAUAAACUAUGCCGACUAGGGAUCGGACGGUGGUUUUUUUAUGCCCCGUUCGGCACCUUACGAGAAAUCAAAGUUUU